This 824-nucleotide long non-coding RNA is filed under the name Micromonas commoda. RNAcentral's name for it is "long non-coding RNA (MCOM_LNC000284)". The record is from RNAcentral. Lineage: Eukaryota; Viridiplantae; Chlorophyta; Mamiellophyceae; Mamiellales; Mamiellaceae.
CGGACCGAAUAGCGCCGUGGCCAGGUAUUGUGUCAAGCCCGACCCGCUCGCUUCGUGCGACUCGUGCGUGUAUUGCGCAGAGACAAGCGUCUCACCUCCACUCCAACGCUUCAAUGAAACACUGGUGGCAGCGACCAUGAGAGGCAUCGAUGAAAAGGCCUCCGGAGGUCCCACUCGACAUCAUCAUCCAUGAAGACUUCACCCAGCAUUCGAAGGAUAAAGUGUAGAAGCGCAAGUUAAAAGUCGUCAAGAGCACUGGUGAGCCGCCAUUUCUAUCCCUAGGUCGCCUCCAGAACUAGAUCUGAAAGAGUCCACACUUUUUCUGUCACGUCGUAUUUGACUCUCGUUUUGUCUGUGCAUUUGGGUCUUUUGGUCGAGAGGAAAAGACGACAUUACUUGGUCCGUGUUUUGUAUCCGCCGGAUUAGACCCCGAGCGAUGCCGACCUACCAUUAUUCCCGGAUUAGACCCCGUGGACACCGAUCCUCUCGACAUGACCAGAUUGAAUGCCCGGACGCGAUUCGUUUUGGUUUCGGAUAUCCCGCGUCGAGUUGUUUCAAACCUCGAAAGGCUUCGUUCAGUGAAGUUUUGUUUUGUACACUCGUCUUUCGGGUGGCGUCAUUGACUGGGACCUCCUCGUGAUCCAUUACUCAGGCUUCUUGUUCUGUUAAGGACCCAACUGCUGCACCGACGAGAACGUUGUUGUAAGUUUAGAAAAGUUGUUGUAAGAAAACGAGUCCACACAAGUUGCAGUGGCACGAUUGAAACUCAUCAUUGAGUCAGUCAUCUCAUUGGAUCCCCGCCCUGAUCCCCGUAUCAUCGUCAG